GGAGAAAUUUGAAAUCCUUAUAUUAUAUUAUACGUGACUGGCAGUCAAGAGGUCGUGAGUUCGAAUCUCAUCUUCUCCA
RNAcentral lists this transfer RNA (79 nucleotides) under Flavobacteriaceae bacterium. RNAcentral describes it as "tRNA-Ala". The record is from RNAcentral. Lineage: Bacteria; Pseudomonadati; Bacteroidota; Flavobacteriia; Flavobacteriales; Flavobacteriaceae.